This 408-nucleotide ribosomal RNA is filed under the name uncultured bacterium. RNAcentral's name for it is "partial 16S ribosomal RNA". It matches the Rfam family "Bacterial small subunit ribosomal RNA", at positions 28 to 526 of the family's 1533-position model. The record is from RNAcentral.
GACGAACGCUGGCGGCGUGCUUAACACAUGCAAGUCGCACGAAGUGGCGAACGGGUGAGUAACGCGUAAUCAACCUGCCCUUCAGAGGGGGAUAACAGUUGGAAACGACUGCUAAUACCGCAUACUGAAGGAGGGGAUUGCGUCUGAUUAGCUAGUUGGCGGGGUAACGGCCCACCAAGGCGAUGCUCAGUAGCAGGUCUGAGAGGAUGAACGGCCAGAUUGGGACUGGGACACGGCCCAGACUCCUACGGUAGACAGCAGUGGGGAAUCUUCCGCAAUGGACGAAAGUCUGACGGAGCAACGCCGCGUGAGUGAUGACGGCCUUCGGGUUGUAAAGCUCUGUUAAUCGGGACGCGGUACCGGAAUAGAAAGCCACGGCUAACUACGUGCCAGCAGCCGCGGUAAUUC